AACACGCAUUGCAGCUUUAAAUAUUGUAGUUUAAAUAAUUUGAACGCAGUCCCUUCCGCGGUGCGUCUCGGCGCACUGCGCAGCUCUGAUGCGCAGGACGGAGAAGACAAAGCGGAAGAAGUCUCACUCCACGCCGAGAAGAGAAGCGGAGCGCUCCUGCUGCCACGCCGCCGCGGUUUCCCCGUCUACUGCUGAUCGGUUGCGACGAUCCUGAACGUCGAUCUUCACCACGUGGACCUCUAAGAUGUCUUAUGGUGGCCUAGAUGCAUCUGAGGUGCAAUCCUUGGUUUGCUUCCAGAGCGCGGUUUUUGCGGUUGCUGCAGUUUAGGACAUCAUCUCUGAGGGCCGGAACCAGCUGGCUGGUUUCACGUCAUCAGGAGGUAGGUAUUAUAGCCUCAUUCUGUGAUUAGAACUACUGGUGAAUCGACCCUGGACUCUAAAGGACACAUUAUACAACAUCUAUUGGGUUUUUAUGUUGUAAAUGUUUACUGUACAGUCUGUUAAUUCUUUUCCUUGUAUUUUACCUUGUGUAAAAAUGCCUGCUUUCAUUUGCCUGAAGCUUUUUGUGUAUUAGACCACAUCUAAUAAACUUUUAAUCUCACCUA
This is a long non-coding RNA of Fundulus heteroclitus (mummichog), 605 nucleotides long. RefSeq lists it as uncharacterized. The transcript is spliced from 5 exons. The record is from RefSeq and is a predicted model, not a curated record. Lineage: Eukaryota; Metazoa; Chordata; Actinopteri; Cyprinodontiformes; Fundulidae.